Molecule: ribosomal RNA, 467 nt
Filed under: uncultured bacterium
Lineage: Bacteria
Description: partial 16S ribosomal RNA
Rfam family: Bacterial small subunit ribosomal RNA
Source: RNAcentral
GACGAACGCUGGCGGCGUGCUUAACACAUGCAAGUCGAACGGAAAGGCCCUGCUUUUGUGGGGUGCUCGAGUGGCGAACGGGUGAGUAACACGUGAGUAACCUGCCCUUGACUUUGGGAUAACUUCAGGAAACUGGGGCUAAUACCGGAUAGGAGCUCCUGCUGCAUGGUGGGGGUUGGAAAGUUUCGGCGGUUGGGGAUGGACUCGCGGCUUAUCAGCUUGUUGGUGGGGUAGUGGCUUACCAAGGCUUUGACGGGUAGCCGGCCUGAGAGGGUGACCGGCCACAUGGGGACUGAGAUACGGCCCAGACUCCUACGGGAGGCAGCAGUGGGGAAUAUUGCACAAUGGGCGGAAGCCUGAUGCAGCAACGCCGCGUGCGGGAUGACGGCCUUCGGGUUGGAAACCGCUUUCGCCUGUGACGAAGCGUGAGUGACGGUAAUGGGUAAAGAAGCACCGGCUAACUACGU